GCCCAGAUAGCUCAGUUGGUAGAGCAGAGGACUGAAAAUCCUCGUGUCGCUGGUUCGAUUCCGGCUCUAGGCA
RNAcentral lists this transfer RNA (73 nucleotides) under Lachnospiraceae bacterium AM25-22. RNAcentral's name for it is "tRNA-Phe". It matches the Rfam family "tRNA". Rfam says of the family: Transfer RNA (tRNA) molecules are approximately 80 nucleotides in length. Lineage: Bacteria; Bacillati; Bacillota; Clostridia; Lachnospirales; Lachnospiraceae. The record is from RNAcentral.